GGCUAGAGUGUGGUAGGGGAGACUGGAACUCCUGGUGUAGCGGUGAAAUGCGCAGAUAUCAGGAAGAACACCGAUGGCGAAGGCAGGUCUCUGGGCCAUUACUGACACUGAGAAGCGAAAGCAUGGGUAGCGAACAGGAUUAGAUACCCUGGUAGUCCAUGCCGUAAACGUUGGGCACUAGGUGUGGGGGACAUUCCACGUUUUCCGCGCCGUAGCUAACGCAUUAAGUGCCCCGCCUGGGGAGUACGGCCGCAAGGCUAAAACUCAAAGGAAUUGACGGGGGCCCGCACAAGCGGCGGAGCAUGCUGAUUAAUUCGAUGCAACGCGAAGAACCUUACCAAGGCUUGACAUGCACUGGACGGCUGCAGAGAUGUGGCUUUCUUUGGACUGGUGCACAGGUGGUGCAUGGUUGUCGUCAGCUCGUGUCGUGAGAUGUUGGGUUAAGUCCCGCAACGAGCGCAACCCUCGUUCUAUGUUGCCAGCACGUGAUGGUGGGGACUCAUAGGAGACUGCCGGGGUCAACUCGGAGGAAGGUGGGGACGACGUCAAAUCAUCAUGCCCCUUAUGUCUUGGGCUUCAAGCAUGCUACAAUGGUCGGUACAAUGGGUUGCGAAACUGUGAGGUGGAGCGAAUCCCAAAAAGCCGGCCUCAGUUCGGAUUGGGGUCUGCAACUCGACCCCAUGAAGUCGGAGUCGCUAGUAAUCGCAGAUCAGCAACGCUGCGGUGAAUACGUUCCCGGGCCUUGUACACACCGCCCGUCAAGUCACGAAAGUCGGUAACACCCGAAGC
This 789-nucleotide ribosomal RNA is filed under the name Brachybacterium paraconglomeratum. RNAcentral describes it as "bacterial SSU rRNA". It matches the Rfam family "Bacterial small subunit ribosomal RNA", at positions 639 to 1427 of the family's 1533-position model. Lineage: Bacteria; Bacillati; Actinomycetota; Actinomycetes; Micrococcales; Dermabacteraceae. The record is from RNAcentral.